AUUAACGCUGGCGGCGUGCAUAACACAUGCAAGUCGAACGAUGAAACUUAACUGAUUUCUUCGGAAUGAUUUUAAGUGGAUUAGUGGCGGACGGGUGAGUAACGCGUGAGUAACCUGCCUUGGAGAAGGGGAUAGCCUUUGGAAACGAAGAAUAAUACCCUAUGAUAUGAUACUAUCUCAUGAUAUUAUCAUCAAAGAUUUAUCGCUCUAAGAUGGACUUGCGUCUGAUUAGUUAGUUGGUGAGGUAACAGCUCACCAAGGCAGCGAUCAGUAGCCGGCUUGAGAGAGUGUACGGCCACAUUGGGACUGAGACACGGCCCAGACUCCUACGGGAGGCAGCAGUGGGGAAUUUUGCACAAUGGGGGAAACCCUGAUGCAGCGACGCCGCGUGAUUUAGAAGGCCUUCGGGUUGUAAAAAUCUUUUGUAUGGGAAGAAAAUGACAGUACCAUACGAAUAAGGACCGGCUAAUUACGUG
This 476-nucleotide ribosomal RNA is filed under the name uncultured bacterium. RNAcentral describes it as "partial 16S ribosomal RNA". It matches the Rfam family "Bacterial small subunit ribosomal RNA", at positions 29 to 507 of the family's 1533-position model. The record is from RNAcentral.